Cygnus olor (mute swan) is the source of this 587-nucleotide long non-coding RNA. RefSeq lists it as uncharacterized. Lineage: Eukaryota; Metazoa; Chordata; Aves; Anseriformes; Anatidae. The record is from RefSeq and is a predicted model, not a curated record. The transcript is spliced from 2 exons.
GGUUAUAUUUUUCCUAGGGGCAUCCUGGGAAUCUGUCAUGAUGGCUAACCUCUCCCACUUUCUUUACAUCAAGAAGAGGCUCAGAUGCAUCUGGUGCAGGCUCUCCCACACACCUGUGAACACUCAGGGUUGCAACUCUGCUAGUGAGACUAGCAUGAAGAAGCCUGGAAGCUGUCCAUUAGCCCUUAAUUAGUGCACAAAAGGAAUGCCAGAAAAGUAUGAGUCAGAUUGUAUGGAUACAUGCAAUGCAGUGAUAAAGGACAAGUCCCUCUUCAGAACUGAAGAAGCUGAGGAAAUAAAAGCCAGUUUUCAGGCAGCUGUGAAGUUGACAGAAGAGCCUUUGUAACACUAUAACCACCACCUCCUGCAUGGGACAACCUCAGAACAUUUCUGAAUCAUCUUUGGGAUUUAUAGAAGCUAAAGGCUGAUAAAGAGAUGAGUCAGUUUCCCCAGAGGCUUGUAGGGGACUUCUGUGACCUCUUGUUUGACUAGGGUUUUAACUCUCAAGGGGAACCUUGGAAAGAGGACAGACCUUACAGUUGCCUUUGAAAAAAAAAUAAAUAAAAAAUAAAAAGCAAACAACAACA